GCUCCUAUAGCUCAGGUGGAUAGAGCGACCGCCUUCUAAGCGGUAGGUCAGAGGUUCGAGUCCUCUUGGGAGCACCA
RNAcentral lists this transfer RNA (77 nucleotides) under Candidatus Roizmanbacteria bacterium CG10_big_fil_rev_8_21_14_0_10_39_6. Its description in RNAcentral is "tRNA-Arg". It matches the Rfam family "tRNA". From Rfam's summary of the family: Transfer RNA (tRNA) molecules are approximately 80 nucleotides in length. Their secondary structure includes four short double-helical elements and three loops (D, anti-codon, and T loops). The record is from RNAcentral. Lineage: Bacteria; Candidatus Roizmaniibacteriota.